UCCGGCUUAUCACCGGCAGUUUCUUUAGAGUGCUCAACUAAAUGGUAGCAACUAAAGACGAGGGUUGCGCUCGUUGCGGGACUUAACCCAACAUCUCACGACACGAGCUGACGACAGCCAUGCACCACCUGUGAAGGUGUCCCGAAGGAAAGCCAUAUUUCUAUGGCGGUCACCUACAUGUCAAGCCCAGGUAAGGUUCUUCGCGUUGCGUCGAAUUAAACCACAUGCUCCACCGCUUGUGCAGGCCCCCGUCAAUUUCUUUGAGUUUUAAUCUUGCGACCGUACUCCCCAGGCGGAAUGCUUAAAGCGUUAGCUGCGCCACCGAAACGCUAAGCGCCCCGACAGCUAGUCAUCAUCGUUUACGGCGUGGACUAC
RNAcentral lists this unclassified non-coding RNA (375 nucleotides) under uncultured Alphaproteobacteria bacterium. RNAcentral describes it as "contains 16S-23S intergenic spacer region". The record is from RNAcentral. Lineage: Bacteria; Pseudomonadati; Pseudomonadota; Alphaproteobacteria.